CAAUUUAUAGCAUAAAUUAAUGCAUUUUAUUUACAUUAAAAUAAUAUUCUAAAAAAUUAAAUUGA
RNAcentral lists this transfer RNA (65 nucleotides) under Haemadipsa yanyuanensis. Its description in RNAcentral is "tRNA-Val". Lineage: Eukaryota; Metazoa; Annelida; Clitellata; Hirudinida; Haemadipsidae. The record is from RNAcentral.